GAUGAAGAACGUAGCGAAAUGCGAUAGGUAAUGUGAAUUGCAGAAUUCAGUGAAUCAUCGAAUCUUUGAACGCAUCUUGCGCUCCUUGGUAUUCCAUGGAGCAUGCCUGUUUGAGUGUCACGUAAACCCUCACCCUUGCGAUGUCAAAGUCGCCUGUGGUGGAUUUGGACUGUGCCGUAAUUGGCUCGUCCUGAAAUGCAUUAGCUUGCGCUUUUUAGAGUGCUCGGCAUGGUGUGAUAAUUAUCUGCGCCGUCGCCGUAGGCCUCUUCUGUGUGCGUAGCUUCCAAUCGUCCCUCGUGGACAACAUAUUUUAAAGCUUUGGCCUCAAAUCAGGUAGGACUACCCGCUGAACUUAAGCAUAUCAAUAAGCGGAGGA
Molecule: unclassified non-coding RNA, 376 nt
Filed under: soil metagenome
Description: partial contains 5.8S ribosomal RNA, internal transcribed spacer 2, and large subunit ribosomal RNA
Rfam family: 5.8S ribosomal RNA (bases 1-120)
Source: RNAcentral